Molecule: transfer RNA, 70 nt
Filed under: Lichtheimia hongkongensis
Lineage: Eukaryota; Fungi; Mucoromycota; Mucoromycetes; Mucorales; Lichtheimiaceae
Description: tRNA-Glu
Source: RNAcentral
GUAUAGAAGGUCUAAUUUAUACCUAAAUUAAAUUCAAGAAUUUACUCCUUAUUAAAAUAUAAUUUAUAUA